UGAGGUGUUCUUUUCCUGGCUGUGACUUGG
RNAcentral lists this non-coding RNA (30 nucleotides) under Mus musculus (house mouse). The record is from RNAcentral. Lineage: Eukaryota; Metazoa; Chordata; Mammalia; Rodentia; Muridae.